RNAcentral lists this ribosomal RNA (449 nucleotides) under uncultured bacterium. RNAcentral describes it as "partial 16S ribosomal RNA". It matches the Rfam family "Bacterial small subunit ribosomal RNA", at positions 29 to 523 of the family's 1533-position model. The record is from RNAcentral.
AACGAACGCUGGCGGCAGGCUUAACACAUGCAAGUCGAACGGGCCCUUCGGGGUCAGUGGCAGACGGGUGAGUAACGCGUGGGAACGUGCCCUUCAGUUCGGGAUAACCCAGGGAAACUUGGGCUAAUACCGGAUACGUGCGAGAGCAGAAAGAUUUAUCGCUGAAGGAUCGGCCCGCGUCUGAUUAGCUGGUUGGUGGGGUAAUGGCCCACCAAGGCGACGAUCAGUAGCUGGUCUGAGAGGAUGAUCAGCCACAUUGGGACUGAGACACGGCCCAGACUCCUACGGGAGGCAGCAGUGGGGAAUAUUGGACAAGGGGCGCAAGCCUGAUCCAGCCAUGCCGCGUGAGUGAUGACGGCCUUAGGGUUGUAAAGCUCUUUCGCACGCGACGAUAAUGACGGUAGCGUGAGAAGAAGCCCCGGCUAACUUCGUGCCAGCCGCCGCCGUAA